AUUGCAUUGAAGACUUUUUUCUUUUUGUCCAUUGCACUUUUCUCGCAAAGUAGAUAACUAAGGGUGAAAAUGAAAAUACGAUAAAAUACACACAGGGGAUAGUAAGAGAUUAACCUUAAUUAAAGGGGGUUUAAGGGGUGAACUUAUCCUCUGCUAUCGUCACACUUUAUUUGCUUGCGUGUGCAUGACGUGCCGCAAAAAAAGGGAAUAAAAGAAUUGGAGAGAGAAGUAGUGGAAAAGAGACAGACGAGGGACGUGAAACAACGUAGACGAAGAGUCCACAGAAAGAAUAGUCUAAUACAAGAAGUACAUUGGCAGGAUGAUUCCUGAAUUACGUAUAUUGUACUAGGUCUGCACCCUCACAGGGUGUUGCGCAAUCUCACAAAAUCUACCGCUGAUUUUGCUGCUUUUCAGAAGUAUGAGGUAUCAUUUAAUGCUCAAAUGAUGACAUGAUAAAUGCAUUUGUGAUGGGAGAAAUUGCAAAUGUGACGAAAGGUGAGGAUUGUGUUUAUGUAGAAGGAAAUUUUUUUGAAAUAAAAACUUUGUGGAAAAUUGAUGGAGUGUAUAAAACCACCCUAUAUUUGGGAGCAAUAGAGUGCGCGCGCAUACUCUAUCGACCGGCCGUCUAAAAGGGCGGAACUCCUUUUUCUCUGGUUGCAAGUCAGCCAGGAUUUCAGUCGGUGCGAAAUUUUCAUGAAAAAUCAGUCAUUCCCAUUAAGAAUUCCGAGUUUAAAAGAUUUUAAAAAAUCUUCCAAGUGCACAGACAUUUGGUAUUUGUUGGUAAAUGGGGUGUGGUGGCGGUGCGUGAAGUGGCAAAGUGUUAAAAAAGAAAAAAUGAUUGAGCCCCCUUGAGGUGUCCGACAUACCCGGAAAGUGAGAAAUACAUGGAUUGAAUGGCUCCAAAAAUGAUCAAAUUGUGUAUUUUUUUCAUUAGUAACACCGCAAAAACGUGCUUAAUGACGUACACCCCAUGGAAGCUUCAUUUCCCUGUUUAGCCAAUCUUUUCAGUCGUGAUGUGGAAUAUAAAAGACGCAAAGACUAAUUACAUGGGUGUGUACAUGGUAAAUGGUGCUUGUGUGGCUCAAAGUCUGCUGUAAAGAAAUGUUAAAUUUAAUUUUGAUUAAUUCUCCUAAAGCCAAAAAAACAACAAAAUCUUUAAUACCAAAAAGUGCGUGAUUUUAUUGAAAAAAGAAAAAGAUAUACUGUAAAAAGGAAUUGGUAGAACAUUCCAAAAUUUUGGGGAUGGUGGUUUGAGAAAGAUCCCUCUAGAGGGUAUGGGUGGAGUAUCCGCACCGCAGCAACACACUUGCAAACUAAUAAUUCAUUUUUUUUUUAAUUAUAAAGAAAAAUGAUAAAAUGAUUGAAGACAUUAAUGUGGGAAAAAGAAACUAAUAUGGCGAAUAUAAAAGUAAAAGAAAGUGUAUUUAUCAAAGCGUGAUUGAGACUGCUAUAAGUCAAAUAUUAUCAAUAUCCUUGUGAUGUUAAUCCGGUGGAAGAGUAAAGAUAAGAAUUCAUCCUCGUCGUCAUCGUCGAGUAGCUCCAAGAAGAAACGCAAUAAAAGUCGAGAUGGAAGUACAGGAGGAGGAGGAAGUAGCAGCGGUACCACCGGGGGAGGAGGUAAAAUUUUUUAAAGACCCUACAUAUUUUUUCAUGUCACGAAAUAUAUUAAAAUUUUCAUACCUUCUCAUUUUGCGCAUUUAUUUUUCUUUUUGAUUAAAACAUUUUUUUUUUUUUCAAAAAAAAAUUUAGUUUUUUACCCAACAAAAACCCUUCAUAAAGCUUUUGCAUUGAGAUUUUUAAUUUAUCAAAAAAGUAAUUAAAUGGAAACAUCAAAGCCCUGUGAGGCAUGCGUUUUAUGCAUUUUAAGGGAAAAUAAUGUACAAGCAGGGGCGUGGUUUUUCGGUAAAUCUUUCCUGAAUUUUCCAAUUGUGAAAAAUUGGAAAUCUGGAAGAUUCUUAUGUUGACCGUUCAAUGAGUUUACAAUGUGAAUAAAAGCGAUUUCUUUUAUGGAAAUUUUUCUGUAAAAAAUCUUAAAGAUUUUUCAUGGAAAAUUCCGAAAAUAUUUUGAUAACACUAAGAUGUUGGACUGUUAUGAAUUAAAAUGAAAAUAGUGCAUAUUCUGUGACCUAUUUCACUCAUUGUGAAAUAAGUGUCCUGCAUAUAAAUACCAUAGAAAAUGUGUUUAUUGCCGUGAAAUGUAAACUGUAUGCAAAUUUGCAUAGACAAUCAUAUUUUGCAAUACAUUUCAUACUGUCCAUUCAUACUAAAACAAGAGUUUAAUUGGUAUAUCAUAAUUUCUAUGUUACAAGAAAUUUUAUCAUAAAAUCCUUUAUCUGUGCCGGUUUUAUUUUUUAUUAAACGAAAGAUGAUUAAAGAAAAUCAUAAAUCUUAGAGAAGCUUUAUUUUCUUCAUUAUCUACAUCCACGUGCAUGAUAUUAAAUUUCGCGCGUUGUAUUUCGUGCAUCUUAAUUAAAUCCCAUGAGAUACUAUAAUCAAAAACAAAACCACCCAAUAAGACAAACAUUUAUGUGGGGAGAUAAUAGAAGCAAUAAAUCAAUUAAUUGUCUCACAACAAUUGUCUGUUGGGUACUAAUUAUAUACAAUAGGGUGGUAAAUGCGUGCUAUCUACAUUACUGGAGGUGACAGAUAUUGCUAAAUACAUUCUCAAAUUUAACCUAUAUAUAUAUAUAUAGCAAUUAUUGUCAUUUUAAAAUCAUCAUCCGUGUUUCCUUCUUGUAAUUAACUUGAAGAUAUUUAACGAAUUUCUUCACUUCUAGCUUAAUAGUUAAGCAAUAAAUUAUAACUAUACUUUUAUAUGACAAAAUGUAGCAAAAUUGAUAAAAGAAACAUUUAGGGAAAUAAUAUUUGUACCCUGUUGCUCUUAACUCCUACACAAUACUGAAAUGAAAACUUUGUCCUAUCUAAUUACAUUAGCAAUUUACGUCUUUUCUUGCUCAUACCGGAGUACAUAAACCACCACACACCGGUGCGGUAGAGGGAAUGUGAUUUUGUGCUUUCAAAACUUUUCCUGGGGCUUCUUAGAAAACUUAGGUACUGUGUCUUCCACAGAAUACUUCCAUUUCUCCCGAGAUUAGUGGAUGAGCAACACCACACAACGGCGGAAACACGUAGGAUUCACAAGACAUAUGAGAUAUAUGCAAAAUAAUUUGCUUUACAAUAAAUCCUGUACUUACUUCAUCUUCACUUGGCAAUUUACAAAAAUAUACAUACAUAUAAUAUUCUCUAACCUAUAUUCCAACUUUGUCGGAGAGUUGGUUUUGUAUUCAACACAAAAAGCAAUAAUUCAUUUACUUGCAUGAAUCGAAUUCUAUAGGACAACUUUAUUAAAAAUUCAAAAAAAAAACGGAAAUCUGUGUUCUCUAAGAUAGUUUCGAUCAAUGAUUUCUAGAGGUUCUAGAAAAAUUAAUAUUUGAAUGAAAUUUAAACACUCUUGAUUAUUAUUAGAGUUUUUUAAUGACCAAAAAUCGCAAAAAAAAUCUUUUUAAUUUUCCUUGAAAUGGCAGUGUUCUUGUUCUUAGAACAUGCCUUUCUGCUCCACAAUUAAUUUAGGUACUCAACUAUUUUUGCUUGAAUAGAGCAUCAAAGGGUUUCUUGUACACAUAAUUUCCAUGUUUUGGGGUGAAAUGUUGUGGUUCAUGCGGUAAGAAUUUUGACCACUUUGAGAUGCCACUUCAGGUGGAAGGUAAUUAAUGUGAUGCAUCCAAUAAAUUAUUCCAAUUAAUUUGCUUUUCCUACCUACUUAAAGUCCUUUGUUUUCCUUUCUAACCCUGUUUCACAAAAUAAUCAAAGGCACAUUUUCCUCUUCAAUGGGCGUCAGUGUUUCAUUUUCUUGCUUUCAAUUUCGGAUGAUUCUUAGUAGGAGAAAGAAACUAAAAGAAUAUUCAGAGUGUACACAUACAAAUACAUAUAUAGGUACCUAGCUUCAAUAAAUAAAAGAAGAAUCUUCAGGUUGAGCAUCACGAAAGGUGAAUAAAAAUACCUUGAAAAGCUUUAGAAGUUAAAAAGAAAAGCUCACCAUAGGGUUCUUUGUCGUUUCCCCAUCAACUUUCACCAACCAAUGAUAUCCAUCUGCACACUCGAAAUGAGACAAUUGAAAUGCCACAAUGAGGAAUGAGAUUCCCGGUUUAUGGCGUAAAAGAGGAAGAAGUGUUGGAUGACGUUGGAGAGUACAAACAAAGUUUUCCAUUGCUUCAUUACUUACGGCUCAAUAAACACUAAGGAAAUUAAAAUCGAUCCUUCUUCUCUCUCAGGAAAUUCUGAUGAAUGAGAGAAUACGAACGAGAAGCGAUUUUAGGUGGUAGAAAGAUAAACAAUCUCAAUGGAAAUGAGCUUUUUUUCUUUUCCAUAGGAAGACUUACAUAGUUUUCGCUAUAUAUGUAGUACAUAUCUUCUUUUCUCAAACUUUUUACAAUUGUUUUAUUUGUCUUGAAAGUUUUUUUUUUUUUUUUUGAGAGAGAAUUUGGCCACAUUUUCACAUUUGGCUGUUGGUGGUAUAACGAUUCUUUUUGGUAUUAUCAAGAACAAAUCUUUAGCACUACUUUGUGGGAGUUCUAUCAACUUAGAACUUCUUCAUUGACUAAUACUUUCCUCUAUCUCAAAGAAGAAUAAAUCUUUUUUUAAACACCUUUAAAAGAUUCAAUUAAAAUAAUCAAAAAGGACUUUAUUCAUAUUGUUGUCACACAGUGUAAUGAAAUUCCAUAAGUUAACAUUACUUAAAUAUAUACCUACAUAAAUAUGUACAUAAAGUAAUACUGUGUUUGUGUAAAAUAAUGUCCCAAAAUAGAUGAAAACGGUAGUUUUAGUUAACGAGAAAGUAAGUAAAAGGGAAACUUUAGAAUGUUAAUUUUCCUUUUGAGCGUACCGCAUAUUCAAAAUAAUGACACAAUAAAGGGUAUAAAAUGGUGGAUGUUAUAUAUAGAGAUGAGUGGUGAAUGUAGGACGUGGGGUUUGUUAAUAUAAUUCCGUCAAAUAUUUAUGGCUUUGCGAAAAUAUUGUGUGCGUAUCCUCAAUACAAUUGUGUUCCGCAGUAAGGUUAAGAUUUUUUUUUCUAUUGAAAGUGUACUUAAAGGACGUUACGUAAAAUGGGAGAAGACUUAAAUCUAAACUAUUUUUUGGAACAAUUUAGAAAACUUUGUUAAUCUAGGUUUUAUGGUUCUGAAAAAAAAACCCAUGAUUUUUCCCGAUUUUUUAAUCAAAAUUGAAUGUUCAAUUUUGAUAAUUUGCAUAAUGUCCUUUUUCAAGAAACAAAAAAUAUAUAUUUUUAAAUUAUCUAUUACAUUAAUAAAUAACAAAAAUUAAAAA
This is a long non-coding RNA of Lutzomyia longipalpis, 5322 nucleotides long. RefSeq lists it as uncharacterized. The record is from RefSeq and is a predicted model, not a curated record. The transcript has 2 exons. NCBI's taxonomy places the organism in Eukaryota, Metazoa, Arthropoda, Insecta, Diptera, Psychodidae.